This is a long non-coding RNA of Perca fluviatilis (European perch), 463 nucleotides long. RefSeq lists it as uncharacterized. The record is from RefSeq and is a predicted model, not a curated record. The transcript has 2 exons. NCBI's taxonomy places the organism in Eukaryota, Metazoa, Chordata, Actinopteri, Perciformes, Percidae.
CAAACAUUUGUCAUUAUGUGGCGUGGUACACCCCUACAUCUACCACACGCAAACCAAACAUAAAAAAAAAAACACAAUGCAUUGUUGUAUGUCAUUACACAGACACAGCAGGCCUUACUGCUUUUACGCUGUUCUACUUUAUGAUGCAUCAUCAUUAUCUCAACUGAUCCCAGUACAAAAACAAGAGGAACCCAGAGGACCAUCAGAGCCCAGAGAGGAACGAACAGGACAACAAGUGCACCAAAGCCGAGUUGCACCACUGACUGCUGCAGGCCAGUCAGCAGAGGAAACUCCAGCACAAUCAGAAAAGCUGGUUCCCAGUGCAUGUCUGCAAUGUGUCUGUCUCCCCAUCUGCAUGUGUUAUUUGAGUUCAAUGACACCGUUUCACAGACUGAUUCAAGUCGUAUUGCUGCAGCCAUAAUUUUGAAACACAGCACAUAAACAUGCACAAAGUGGAAAAACA